GACGAACGCUGGCGGCGUGCCUAAUACAUGCAAGUUGAGCGCUGAAGGUUGGUACUUGUACCGACUGGAUGAGCAGCGAACGGGUGAGUAACGCGUGGGGAAUCUGCCUUUGAGCGGGGGACAACAUUUGGAAACGAAUGCUAAUACCGCAUAAAAACUUUAAACACAAGUUUUAAGUUUGAAAGAUGCAAUUGCAUCACUCAAAGAUGAUCCCGCGUUGUAUUAGCUAGUUGGUGAGGUAAAGGCUCACCAAGGCGAUGAUACAUAGCCGACCUGAGAGGGUGAUCGGCCACAUUGGGACUGAGACCCGGCCCAAACUCCUAAGGGAGGCAGCAGUAGGGAAUCUUCGGCAAUGGACGAAAGUCUGACCGAGCAACGCCGCGUGAGUGAAGAAGGUUUUCGGAUCGUAAAACUCUGUUGGUAGAGAAGAACGUUGGUGAGAGUGGAAAGCUCAUCAAGUGACGGUAACUACCCAGAAAGGGACGGCUAACUACGUG
Molecule: ribosomal RNA, 497 nt
Filed under: uncultured bacterium
Lineage: Bacteria
Description: partial 16S ribosomal RNA
Rfam family: Bacterial small subunit ribosomal RNA
Source: RNAcentral